GGGGAAUUUUCCGCAAUGGGCGAAAGCCUGACGGAGCAAUACCGCGUGCGGGAGGAAGGCCCUUGGGUCGUAAACCGCUUUUCUCAGGGAAGAAGACCUGACGGCAUACCUGAGGAAAAAGCCUCGGCUAACUCCGUGCCAGCAGCCGCGGUAAUACGGAGGAGGCAAGCGUUAUCCGGAAUUAUUGGGCGUAAAGCGUCCGCAGGUGGAAUUGUAAGUCUGCUGUCAAAGACAGAAGCUCAACUUCUGAUAGGCAGUGGAAACUGCAAAACUAGAGUACAGUAGGGGUAGAGGGAAUUUCCCAGUGUAGCGGUGAAAUGCGUAGAGAUUGGGAAGAACCACCGGUGGCGAAAGCGCUCUGCUGGGCUGUACUGACCCUGAAGGACGAAGCUAGGGAGCGAAGGGAUUAAAUUCCCUUGU
This 420-nucleotide ribosomal RNA is filed under the name Spirulina sp. 96-4. RNAcentral's name for it is "bacterial SSU rRNA". It matches the Rfam family "Bacterial small subunit ribosomal RNA", at positions 356 to 791 of the family's 1533-position model. The record is from RNAcentral. Lineage: Bacteria; Bacillati; Cyanobacteriota; Cyanophyceae; Spirulinales; Spirulinaceae.